RNAcentral lists this ribosomal RNA (253 nucleotides) under uncultured bacterium. Its description in RNAcentral is "partial 16S ribosomal RNA". It matches the Rfam family "Bacterial small subunit ribosomal RNA", at positions 524 to 776 of the family's 1533-position model. The record is from RNAcentral.
UACGAAGGGGGCUAGCGUUGCUCGGAAUCACUGGGCGUAAAGCGCACGUAGGCGGAUUGCUAAGUCAGGGGUGAAAUCCUGGAGCUCAACUCCAGAACUGCCUUUGAUACUGGCGAUCUUGAGUCCGGGAGAGGUGAGUGGAACUGCGAGUGUAGAGGUGAAAUUCGUAGAUAUCUGGAGGAACACCGGUGGCGAAGGCGGCAUCCUGGCACACUCCUGACACUCAUACGCGAAAGCUAGGGGAGCGAACGGG